AGAGUUUGAUCCUGGCUCAGAUUGAACGCUGGCGGCAUGCCUUACACAUGCAAGUCGAACGGCAGCACGGGAGCAAUCCUGGUGGCGAGUGGCGAACGGGUGAGUAAUAUAUCGGAACGUGCCCAGUCGUGGGGGAUAACGCAGCGAAAGCUGUGCUAAUACCGCAUACGAUCUAUGGAUGAAAGCGGGGGAUCGCAAGACCUCGCGCGAUUGGAGCGGCCGAUGUCAGAUUAGCUAGUUGGUGGGGUAAAGGCCCACCAAGGCGACGAUCUGUAGCUGGUCUGAGAGGACGACCAGCCACACUGGGACUGAGACACGGCCCAGACUCCUACGGGAGGCAGCAGUGGGGAAUUUUGGACAAUGGGCGCAAGCCUGAUCCAGCAAUGCCGCGUGCAGGA
Molecule: ribosomal RNA, 398 nt
Filed under: uncultured bacterium
Lineage: Bacteria
Description: bacterial SSU rRNA
Rfam family: Bacterial small subunit ribosomal RNA
Source: RNAcentral